Molecule: non-coding RNA, 2841 nt
Organism: Bactrocera oleae (olive fruit fly)
Lineage: Eukaryota; Metazoa; Arthropoda; Insecta; Diptera; Tephritidae
Source: RefSeq, a predicted model, not a curated record
AUUGGAAAGUAAUAAAAUAUUUAAACAAUUUAAAAAGAAUUGAAAAUUUAAGCCGAUGGUUAUUCUGCUGUUUUGGUUGAGGAAUGAAGUUUAUGAAUUCAGUUCUUAAAGUGUUUCGGACUCGGUCACUUUUAUUGCACCUAUGGUAUUUGCAAAAUAACGGAGAAGAGGACCUAUACCAACAGUUGGACGGAUCUAACAUUGUCAAUCAUAUAAUUGAUGAAGUGAUUGACGAAUUGAAAUGGACUACAUAUGUGUGGAUAUUUUAUAAUUGAAGUUUACUUACACACAUACAUACAUAUACACGUGCAUAUAUAAUUGUUUGCAUAUAUAUUUGGUAGUUAAUUGGUAUAUUCUUUAUAUUGUAAAGCACCGCUAUUUUGUAUGAAUAUCCUUUCAGUCGUUUUAACAGCAGAUAUUUUAUGAGCAUGUAAUUUCAAAUUCUAUUCAAGCUGAGUUUGUGCAUUUAAGGCGUGUUUUGCAGUGAAGAUUUUCUGGAAACUGUUUAACAAAGAAAAAGUGUGUGAACAGAAUUGUAACAUACGGCGCAAGCGAGGUCUCCAAAAUGAAGUCUAAUUGUGUGUGAAGCGAACUACUAGUAGCGACCUCUGUCGGCCAUUAGACGGGUGGACUGUCUUCAUGAUGUUUCGUCGUCCAAACACCGGGCACCAUUUGCGGCGGUAAAUUGGAGUUGGGUGCUGCCAGUUUCGUAAUACUGGUAAAUAUCGGAUUUUUGAGUGUCGGUCCCGUUGAGAAGCCUUUAUUAUCGAUGCCAUCCACUUGUGUAGCGGUCGCUCGAUUGCUGCCGCCAAGCGCUUUCUUACUUAUCGUACGCGGACUUGUUAUGAGGGAGGUUAAAACACCACCAAUAAUUGCGAGGGACGCGAAUGCUGUUUGUGGUACCAUAAUGCCAAAGAUCACAGUAGCGCCGAUAAAUGGUGCACCCAACAGCCAGAAACGUGCCCAACAUAUCGCCGAGAAUGCGGUAAUCUUGCGCUUAUCCUCACUUACUAGCUCAACGGUGCAGGUGGUGAGUAUGGAUAGUGUGGUGGAGAUGGCCACUUUCGAGAUCAUGGCCGAAAGCAUGAGCAGCGCAACGCGUGCAUCGAACGGUACUAAACGUUUGCGGAAGAAAAGAGGAAAUAUGAAAUUUAAACAGUUCUAUUUGUAUAACGAGACUAACUUACAGUUUGUUGGCACCAGCCAACCCAGAUAAGCAAUAAGUCCGGCCAGUACAUUGAAAAGACCGGUCCACAACCAUUUGCGCGUAGUCUUCAAUAUCAGGAAUAGCCCAAUAAAAGUGCCGAUUAUCUCGCUCAAGCCCGCCACAGCCGUGUUCACCUCGAGAUGCUCUCGACUGAACGAACGUAUGUUCAGCAGCAUGCCAUAGUACACGACAAUGUAGAGGGACCACGCUAAAUGUACACAAAUCAAAUUGCGCACGACAUUUUCACCCUUCCAUAUCGACCACCAGCCUGGCGGUGGCGGUGCGUCCAUAGCGGUUUGCGCCUGCAAUUGCAGCUGCUGAUCGAUGUCGUGCGGAAGACCGUAACGUGUGCCAUUCACCUCAACACAUUGCAUGAGAAUAUUUUUAGCGUCUAUUACACGACCACGUUGUAUCAUCCAGCGGGGUGAAUCGGGAAUCCAACUGUCAUGUAAAAAAAAUAUAAAAUAGUUUUACUACACCGACAUGUUCCAACUUACCGCCAUAAGUAUAUGAGUAUCACAGUGGGCCAAGAGAUGGCCAUAUAGAGAUGCGACCAGCUGGAGAAGAAACUUGCCACCCCGGGCAGUAGUAUAACACCUAUUGACCAGAACUGUUCAAAGAGUGUCGAAACGCAAGUCUUAUAAACGCCUCCCGUUAUAUCGGCCACUGUAGAAAUGAGAAAACGCAAAAGUGAGCUUGAGUAGCCUGCAAGAAGCUUACUAAACAUUUAACUUACUUAUUACACCGCCUGCUGUGUACAUCUGCGCACAACAUACCGCAGACAAGCAGCGAAAGAAAACGUGUAACUCGUAUGAGGCUACAAGUCCCGUCAGAUUGCCACAGAAUAUCUGCGAUACCAUGCCGAAGAGCAUCACAUUACGUGGACUGAAGCUGUGGGGAGGACAGUUAAUUAUAUUUAUCAUGUGAGCUGUGACGCCCAACAUGAUGUUAUCCUACCACGCUUUUAACCACGCACCAACUCACCACGCACUUUCGGACGCGUGCUUAAUUUUGCGAAAAUCUCCAGAGGGUGCAUAAUUAAAUUUUCGUGGACGGAACUAUAAAGUUUGUAUUGCGUUUACAACUUUUAUUAAGGAAAAUAUGAACUUCAUUUAAAUAUAAGCGUUUUAUGUUGUUUAAGAUAUUUAAAAUGGUUUACAUACUACUUUCGUUUAAAUUAUUUUAGUAGUGGAGUGCUUAACGGCCAACACAUUUUAAAAUUUCUAAGUUUGCUAUUAAUGUUUUUCAACUGUAAAAACAAGAGGGUUUAAGAGAAUAUUUUUGGAAUUUUGUUCGUUAGCGGCGAAGUGAUAAUCUCUAAAAAUUGUAUAUUAAAUUCACAGGCUAAGUUAAUAGUUAAUAAAAAUAAUUGCAAUUAACAGAGAAAUCGGGAAAGGCCAAUUGGAGUACUGCAUCGUCGAGAAACGAUUAAAAAUCAUUGCGGACCUGACAGCAGCGAUUAAUAUUUAUAAUUUGACUAAAGAACCUAAAUAAAUAAAAAUAGAAAUAAGGAUGAAAAGCAUAAAUACGAACUAACACUUUUGGUGUUAUGAACUACAUGGAAGGCUAAUAACCUUUUUAACGCUAAUAAAAUCGUAUCUGUUAUUGCCAAACUUUAUCAAAAAGGUAACAAA